RNA transcript from Asterias rubens (European starfish), 889 nucleotides. It is a transcript of the gene named serine/arginine-rich splicing factor RSZ21A-like, with no coding region annotated. The transcript is spliced from 6 exons. NCBI's taxonomy places the organism in Eukaryota, Metazoa, Echinodermata, Asteroidea, Forcipulatida, Asteriidae. The record is from RefSeq and is a predicted model, not a curated record.
CCUGCGUGCGUGUGGACAAGCUUUUUUUCUGGCAGAAAAAGGGGCCGAGUGUUGCCAAUAUUCUGUUUAAUUCAAAGACCGUGAGAUUUUAAAAUUUCGCCAUGGGGAGAUACAGCAGUGAUGACGAUAAUAAUAGUGAUGACGAACGGGAGCGUACUCGCAUCUACAUUGGUGACAUCAACUCGGAGACGACCCGGACCGAUCUGGAGAGAAUUUUCAAGAAGUUUGGCUCGCUGUUUGAGGUCUGGCUUGCCCGUUACCCACCGCUGUUUGCGUUUGUCGCCUUCAAGAAAAGGCGAGAUGCUGAGGAUGCUGUCCGUGAGAUGAACGGGGAAACAAUUAAUGGGAGUCGAGUACAGGUCAAUAUCGCUCGUCCUCGUAACCGCGGACGGACCAGCUUUGGUCGUUCUAGUUUCCACGAUCCGGAGAUCCGAUGCUACCACUGUCAGGAACGAGGGCAUAUCGCUCGCCAUUGCACCAAAUUCACAUCCGGGUAUCGGCGCCAUUUCAGCAGCACUUCGGCUAGGAAUGAUUCAAGGCUGGUGUGUGGGCUUUUUGUUGAUGGUAACCAAUGGCAACGGUGUGAGUGGAUAUUUGGGAAAAUAUGUAAAAAGUGGCCGGCCAUGUUAAGAGUGUGGGUAUGGUGACCCAAAGUAGUAUGGUGAUUCUGAUUGGUAGAAUCAGCCACGAGAGGUUAGUUCUCCACUGUGAUUGGUUGGGAGCUAAGGACGAGCCCUGUGAUUGGUUGGUUGUGUGUUGGGAGUCUUGUUCCCCCGCGGUGAUCUUUUUGCAAAGAGUGUGUGUUUAAAAACUGAUGGUCUCGUUCCAGAUCCCCUGGGCCUGGUGGUCGCAACAAAGGUCGUCGCAGUAACAGCCGUGAACGAAUGAA